UACGUAGGUGGCAAGCGUUGUCCGGAUUUAUUGGGUUUAAAGGGUGCGUAGGCGGUCUAUUAAGUCAGUGCUGAAAUAUCCCGGCUUAACCGGGAGGGUGGCAUUGAUACUGAUGGACUUGAGUAAAGUUGAGGUUGGCGGAAUUGACGGUGUAGCGGUGAAAUGCUUAGAUAUCGUCAAGAACACCUAUUGCGAAGGCAGCUAACUAAGCUUAAACUGACACUGAGGCACGAAAGUGUGGGGAUCAAACAGG
This 253-nucleotide ribosomal RNA is filed under the name uncultured bacterium. RNAcentral describes it as "partial 16S ribosomal RNA". It matches the Rfam family "Bacterial small subunit ribosomal RNA", at positions 524 to 776 of the family's 1533-position model. The record is from RNAcentral.